This 239-nucleotide ribosomal RNA is filed under the name uncultured bacterium. Its description in RNAcentral is "partial 16S ribosomal RNA". It matches the Rfam family "Bacterial small subunit ribosomal RNA", at positions 524 to 762 of the family's 1533-position model. The record is from RNAcentral.
AACGUAGGGGGCGAGCGUUGCCCGGAUUCACUGGGCGUAAAGCGGGUGUAGGCGGUCCAUUAAGUCGGAUGUGAAAUCUCACGGCCCAACCGUGGAAUUGCAUCCGAUACUGGUGGACUUGAGGACGGUAGAGGCCGGUGGAAUUCCCGGUGUACCGGUGAAAUGGGCAGAUAUCGGGAGGAACACCAGUGGCGAAGGCGGCCGGCUGGGCCGAUCCUGACGCUGAGACCCGAAAGCCA